GUUAAUCCGAGCCCAACAUGUUGCUUGGAUGUUUAAUAGUAUGUUUAGUCGGUUGCAUAGAUCGUCGAAACGACUUUUCCAUCUGGCUUAGUUCUAUAAAAGGAAUUGUGGCAAAGAAAAGCGUCUAGAGACUUUUAUGCUUUUGAUAAUUAAUAAUCAAGUUUGAGCUUAAAAGGAUGCACUAUUAAGGUUUUCUUGUUGUGAUUGAUUUUUGGAAGUUCCAUUCUCAAUACAUGGUACUCACUUUGCUGAAAAUUGUCAUUUGUAAUGACCGUUAUUAGAAGAAUAAAAUCCUUUGUUUCUAGACGGCUCUCUUUGAAAUGAUUUGCCAUCAAAUAUAUAAUGCAUGCGAGUGUGACCUCAUCACAUUUUAUAUCAAAGAUAUCUUGUACACAUAUCUCUUUACACGUAGUUCUGACCUCUUCUUUUUUUUUUUUCCCAAAGAGGUAAACCAAAUCUUGCAAAAUAGCUCCAAAAAGUUCACCUAUUUUUUUCUUUUUUAUUAAAAAUGAUAUAUUUUAAAAUCCGUAUAUACCAAAGGAACCCAAUUAAUUACAAUAUUAUUCCAAACUUGUUGAAACAAAAAGAAGAUCACUACAACAGGAGCAUACAACUUAUCUCGCUGCCCUCUAUGCGUCUAUAAAUAGUGGCUUCAAGAAACUUCAUCACCAUCAUCUCAGCAACAAACCCUUUAGGUACUUCUCUACACCUAUAUAUACGUCUAACUAUAUACAUAUCUCAUAUAUAUAAACAUCUUCAGUAUUUGCUAUAAUGAUCAAAAUAUUUGGUGUUUAAUCAAGUUCUUGAUAGCCCUCAGGUUCAAAUUAAAAUCCCAUAUAUUUUUCAAUUGUUAAUCAAAAAUCGAUGUUUAAUGGUUUGGGAGGCAUUGAUAGUGUUGACAGAAGAUAGAGAGCACAGAUGAGAAGAUACAAUUCUUCGCAGCUUCUUUGCAUCUUACUCCUUUGUGCUCUCUAAGCUUCUGUCAUCACCCGUUAUUUUGCGGUCGCCCAUCUUCUUUGAAAUAUUAUCUAUAUAUACACAACUAUGUUUAUGUCUUGUUUCUUCCAUGGCUUAAUUUUGACUUGCAACUAUAGAAAUGCAAAUUUUAGCCUAAAAAUGUUUUCUUCAAGAGAUAUUGAUCAUGUUCUCAGUUAAAUUUAUAUAUACUCUAAGUUUCUAUAUUGAGUUUUCUUAUCUUCUUCUUUUUUUUUGUUGCAAAGAGUUUUCUUAUCUUCAAAUAUAUAUGGGUUUGAGUUUUAAGGUAUUUUAGUUUGGUUUCAUCCAAAUUUGUUUGUUGAUUCAAUUAAAGAUAGAUGAUCAAACUUCAUUAAUCCAUGCAUAUAAAUCUGGAUAGUGAUCAUUUGAUCAAUGAGAUAGAAACGCUUAAUAGGUUCAAAGAUUUUAAAAGUGGAAAUAUGUUUUGUAUUUGGUGUGGUUGUAAUCAAUUGUUGAGAAAGUAUGUAAUAAGUUAGAGUUACAAUUUCUACUAGUACGUAUCUUAAUUUAUAUCUUUGGGGCCGGGAAACCAAAAUGAAACAAUUUCAGUCGUUUCAACUAUCUCAAAGAGCCCUGGCCAUGGAUCUUCAAGCAUCACUUUGUUUCAUUGCGGAGAUUAAGGGUUCUCCAUUUGGCAAAACUUUCUCACGCGGCUUCAAAACAGCACCAACAGUCAUCUAUGCAACAUGGUGAGAGCGAAAAUAACCGGAUCUUCAACAGUCGCAGCAUAAGAUCUAUUCAAAAUUUGAUCGCACGCGGAAUAAAAAACAAUUAUCUUGUGAGGCAGUUUAUUCGACUAUUCACGGAUACUUAGCGUUAUGAUUCAGCCAAACUCCGAGCUUAUAGUUGUUGUCAAUUCUCGAAAUUGCUAUGAGUUAUAAAACUUGGAAGCAUGAGGUUGCAUUGACAACCCUUUCUUUUAUUUCAUUGUAAUAGUUUCAUUACAUAUAUAGCAAUAAAUUCAGAAAAGUUUUUAAACAUUGACAAGAUUUAUAUGUAUAAACCUCGAUUUGAUAAGACUUUUUAGUCUAUAAAUUAUUUCAUGUCUGAAAAUGAAAGGCUAACCAAAAAGUGUUUACUUAAUUAGAAAAAACGUUACUCCUCAAGUUCAAUAUCGCAGUCGAUUUUUGGAUAGUGAAAACGAUUCUCAUCUCAAAUUAAACGUUAAAACUUAAAGAUCUCACUGUUCAGCAUCGUUGGAAAACUAACUCACGCCCUCAAAGAUCAUCGUUCCAGAGUACUCAAGUCUUAUUAUUCACGUAUAUCUAACAAUCUCGUUCUUGUUUUGUUUCCGGGAUCUGAAUACAAUUCACAGAAACUAAAAUAAAACUAAUUUUCAACCCUAACAAAGUAACACAUCCUCUCUGUGCAUAUAAAACAUAACUAGACCUAUAAGUCCAUUUAUGAUCCUAUCUGAUCUUUAAAGCUGAUAGCUAGAUUUAAAGUUUUGUGUCAAAAGAGUACAUUGAUUUCAAAAACAGUGUAAUAUUCAGUAUCUUGGUAAUGUUACCACAUAAUCAUCAAAUUUAAACUGAGAUCAACAAUAGAAAAAUCAUGUCUUUAUCAAAAGCAAUAGUAAUUUGACCCAUGUAGAUUUGUAUAGAAAGAGAGAAGAGACAUGGGUCUAGAACUCUUUUAUUAGGCCCGGCCCAACACAAAAUUAUCAAAUUCAUUUAAAUAUUCAAAAAAAAAAAAAAAAAA
This is a long non-coding RNA of Arabidopsis lyrata subsp. lyrata, 2697 nucleotides long. RefSeq lists it as uncharacterized. The record is from RefSeq and is a predicted model, not a curated record. The transcript has 2 exons. Lineage: Eukaryota; Viridiplantae; Streptophyta; Magnoliopsida; Brassicales; Brassicaceae.